AGCACCCUGGGUGUGUUUGCUUGGCUCGUGCUGUGUUUGCUGCACUUCAUUUUUGCAGCCACCGUUAACGGUUCGCCGAUGCGCUUAGCUGAAGUUGAUAACGCGCAUCGCAGCCGUCGUGACUACACGGAAGCCGAAUUGAAGAAAUUUCUUCACCUGUUGGAGGAGUCAAGUAACGGCAAGCAGAAACCCUCAGACGACGUGGCAACCUACCUCAGGAACGUCAAAAAGCAUGGGAAGCGCCUCUGAGACCAUCGGAGACAAGCAGGGAUGUGUCGUUUGCUGGAAGUUUAAGGAAAGUUGCACUUACUAACUGCUUGAGCUACUUGUGCCAGUUGCAACGAAGCAACUCCUUCAAAACCAGAGUAAAAAUUGCAAAGUGCACGUUCCGCUCACAUUUUGUUUCUCUGGUAUUAUCUCAUAAAUGUGGGAAUAAAGACUCUUUGAACACUGUU
Ornithodoros turicata is the source of this 455-nucleotide long non-coding RNA. RefSeq lists it as uncharacterized. NCBI's taxonomy places the organism in Eukaryota, Metazoa, Arthropoda, Arachnida, Ixodida, Argasidae. The transcript is spliced from 3 exons. The record is from RefSeq and is a predicted model, not a curated record.